GGAAGCUUUCAGCAGGAGGCUGGAGACAGAUGACCUUCAGAUAUCCCUAAUUUAGCUCUUGUCCAAUCCCCAGAGAACACAGGAAAAAUUUUCUUUCACUCAUCUGAAAAAAAAAAUUUUUGCAGACAGGCACUGGAAGACAUCUGUGACAAGCCUGUGUGGAAUAAGUGAUAACGCCUUCUGAAAUGUUUGCAAAAGCAAGUCACCUGCUGUUUGCCAGUGACCACUGCUCUCUUCAGUGGGAUGAGCAAGGUUGUACAGAGCCAAAUGAUGGCGAAGAUUCGGAGAAGCAUUAAAAUAUGUGCUAAAAGGUAAACAAUAAAAAUGAUUGCAAAUCUGGCAAGGCUCAUCAAGAAGGUCUACAUUUGUUCCAGCAUUUUGCAAAUGGUAAAAAGCUGGUAUCAGCUGCUCUCAGCAGCCUUAAGAUGAUAUUCAGAGAUAAUGUCUUUCUAUACACAAAAAUCUGGUCAUUGCAGAUACACAUUCUGUCAUCUUGUUCUCUGUGAGUAAGAUAUGCACUUUCAAGAGGCUGACGCAUGACUAUUUUUGGCCUUUCAUAUGAAAUGUCUCAGAUAUUGUGGUCAGCUUGUACGAUGGUAUCAGAAAUGAGGCUGUAGAGGACCAGUUCUCUACAUGCAGUUUUGUCUCGACAUUGCUGCUGCUGCUGCAGAGCCACCGCUGCCAAGGCGCGUUGGGCAAUGCCGCGCCGGCGCCCCCGGGAGCUGUCCGCGAUGUAAACAACCUCGUGCACCUGCACGAGGUAAAAAGGGCGCGAAAAGGGCAGAAGGUCAUCUCUAGGGCACGAACCCCACGUACUCAUUUGCCAUCUGCACAUGAGCAGGAGACCCCCAGAUGCCCCAGCCCGUUUCUGGAAGGUUCCGAGAGGGCGGA
This is a long non-coding RNA of Dromaius novaehollandiae (emu), 891 nucleotides long. RefSeq lists it as uncharacterized. The transcript is spliced from 4 exons. The record is from RefSeq and is a predicted model, not a curated record. Lineage: Eukaryota; Metazoa; Chordata; Aves; Casuariiformes; Dromaiidae.